RNAcentral lists this ribosomal RNA (214 nucleotides) under Desulforamulus profundi. RNAcentral describes it as "Desulfotomaculum profundi partial 16S ribosomal RNA". It matches the Rfam family "Bacterial small subunit ribosomal RNA", at positions 1 to 202 of the family's 1533-position model. Lineage: Bacteria; Bacillati; Bacillota; Clostridia; Eubacteriales; Peptococcaceae. The record is from RNAcentral.
AUUUUAUGGAGAGUUUGAUCCUGGCUCAGGACGAACGCUGGCGGCGUGCUUAACACAUGCAAGUCGAACGGAGAUUAGAAGGAAGCUUGCGAAUUCUAAACUUAGUGGCGCACGGGUGAGUAACGCGUGGAUAACCUGCCUGGUAGACCGGGAUAACAGCUGGAAACGGCUGCUAAUACCGGAUACGCUUAAGGGAACGCAUGUUCUUUUAAGG